AUUUCUCAGGUUUUAUUACAUUUUUAGCUCACCUGGCCUAAAAGGCCAUGUGAGCUUUUCUCAUCACUUGGCGUCCGUCGUCGUCGUCGACGUCGUCGUCGUCGUUAACAAUUUUUCAAACAUCUUCUCCUCUGAAACUACUGAAUGGAUUUGAAUGAAACUUAGCAUGAUUGUUCCUUAGAUUAUCCUGCACAAAGUGUGUGCUUCGAUUUUUGAUCCGUUAAAAAACAUGGCCGCCGUUACUUAAAAUAGAACAUA
This 258-nucleotide long non-coding RNA is filed under the name Mytilus galloprovincialis (Mediterranean mussel). Lineage: Eukaryota; Metazoa; Mollusca; Bivalvia; Mytilida; Mytilidae. The record is from RNAcentral.